AGUGAACGCUGGCGGCAGGCCUAACACAUGCAAGUCGAACGGCAGCACAGUAAGAGCUUGCUCUUACGGGUGGCGAGUGGCGGACGGGUGAGGAAUACAUCGGAAUCUACUUUUUCGUGGGGGAGAACGUAGGGAAACUUACGCUAAUACCGCAUACGACCUACGGGUGAAAGCAUGGGAUCUUCGGACCUUGCGCGAUUGAAUGAGCCGAUGGCGGAUUAGCUAGUUGGGGGGGUAAAGGCCCACCAAGGCGACGAUCCGUAGCUGGUCUGAGAGGAUGAUCAGCCACACUGGAACUGAGACACGGUCCAGACUCCUACGGGAGGCAGCAGUGGGGAAUAUUGGACAAUGGGCGCAAGCCUGAUCCAGCCAUACCGCGUGGGUGAAGAAGGCCUUCGGGUUGUAAAGCCCUUUUGUUGGGAAAGAAAAGCAGCAGGUUAAUACCCCGCUGUUCUGACGGUACCAAAAGAAUAAGCACCGGCUAACUUCGUG
This 492-nucleotide ribosomal RNA is filed under the name uncultured bacterium. RNAcentral describes it as "partial 16S ribosomal RNA". It matches the Rfam family "Bacterial small subunit ribosomal RNA", at positions 29 to 507 of the family's 1533-position model. The record is from RNAcentral.